GGGAGGCCUGGCUCUGGUGUGGGCUGCGGGGAGAAGGCGCGGGAAGGAAGGAAGGAGGCGAAGCGGUGCGGGAGGGAGGCGGCCGUUGCCAUGGAAGGAGCUGCAAGCCUCCCUGCAGACCGCGAGCGGAGCCCCCGCACCCCCGGGGCUGGCCCCUGGCCUCCCGCCCCAGCCCGGCCGGCGGCCCCUCCCUGCUCCGCUGUCCGCCUUGGGUACAGAAGCGGCGAGUGGCCCCUUUCCAGGAGGCCUGUUUACCAGCACGACAACGGCAAAUUAGUGCGCUUAAGAGGCAUUCGGCGUUUAUCCCGGCAAACAUGCGCAGCGUGAAGGGGGCCUGCGAGGCCUGCUCCCCGGAAUCUGCUGAAAUGGGGUCUGCUGUGCAUCUUAAUCGACUUACUUCCACCCAUCACAUUAAACGCAUUUAAUCUACUCUUGCAAAUGGCUAAUUUUGAAAAUCCGCUUAUCAGAAUUAGGUCCUCAACAUCCAUAUUUAUUUACUUUCCAUUUUCAUAAUCUUUUUUUUUUUUUUUUCCCCUUGUGUGGGACUGAAUUCCAUUUACUAUUGUCUGGCUCGCUCUCGCCCGUCCCGGGGGGCCGGGGCAGGGGACAAGGGCCAGGUUAGGAGCAAACUGGAAAUGGAAACCUGGCAGGGAUGAAAGGCAUGGGCUCGGGAUUUGAGGACUGGGAGGCUCUUCCCGGGUGGCAGCAUCUUCAGGAAAUCACCAAGAGCUGAGGCUUGAGCAGAGCAGGUUUAAAAAGGCGAUGAGGAAGUCUUGCUGAAUCGCAGGCGCCCGGGGCCUGCCUGGCAGGAAUCAGCAGCCGUGUCAGAAAUGUGCAAGAAAGUGGUUGGGAUCAACUGUCUUCCCCAGCGCCCCCGGUGCCAGGCUCCGUGCUAAGCGCUUCACGUGGACCAGCACUCAUGCUCACGCCAGCCCUGCUCAGUGAAUGCCAGGCGCGUCUCGCAGACAAGAAGACUCCUGCUGUGGCUUAGACCCACAUUUACAUCCAGACUGCACGUCCUCCUCUGCAGCAUGUUGUCAGGUGUGCAAGGCACGUUUUUCCUAUGAGUGUGUAAGAAACACAAGUUUGUGUGUGCAGGACUCAGGCCUGUGAGAAACGCAGACUCAAGGGAGAGAUGGGUGUUCAGAAUCUGGAAGAUGGCUCUCCAGGUCACAACCUGUGCAGCCUCAAGCGUGGAUUCCGCAUGUGGCUUUCCUCACCACGUUUGGGCUCUGCAAGUUUGCUAAGAGUCGCUACAGAGCUAGGAAGAGCCGCCAGGCCUCUUGGCCUCUAAAGGACUUAGCACUCAAUGUUAAUUUUGUUGUUGCCAGUCCCCUAAUGAGCUGAUUUGGCACACAUCUAGAGCAAAAACCUGAAUUUCACUUCGUUUAAUUUACUUUCAACAUUGGCUGGGCACCUCCUAUUGGCCAAGUGAUGUUCUGCAGAAUACCUGGGUGGAAGGAUAAAUCCGAUCUGUUUCGAGCCUUGGGAAGCUCACAUUUACUGGAUUUUACAAGAAAGGCUCAGAACAACAAAGUGUUAACAGAUGCAUACCAGACAAUUUUAUUCUCCCAAAGAACUGCUAAGUUAUGUUGUAGCCAUCUUAGAUUUCCAGAUCUAAUGGGAAUUCUAAAGCAUAAGGCAUUAAUUACAUCUUGGUGGUUGAGAUUAGGGCUGAAUUGUCUGCAGACUUGAACUCAAACCUGCAGUUCUGCCGCCUUCACUGUAUGACCUUGGGCACAUUGGACCCUCAAUAUCCUCAUCUGUGUAAUGGGGGUUAUAUAAAUAUCUACCCAUAGGGCUCCGAAGAUCUAAAUUAAUGCUGUAGGUGGAGCUUUUAGUGAGGUAUCUGACAAAGGCCUACACCUAACAACCAAAUAGUAAGCAUUAUGAUACAUAAUCAUUUACUGAAUCAAACUCAGCAAAUAGAAUUCAAAGACAGAAAUAAACAUUGAUCAAGUGUUUUUCAUUGUUCCGAGUAUGUUGGUGAGCCACCUGGAAAGCUAACGAAGCAGUCAGUGGGUCUUCAGGCCCUGCUGCCAGGUGCUGGCUGAAUGGCAAGGUGGAACAAUGAUUUACUGGGACCCUUCCCUCGUUUCUCUGGCCCCCACCUUUUCCCCUUUCAACUUCCUGCCUCUCUCUAGAAUUAUACAAUAUGCCAAAGUAAAUUCCCUCAGACUUGCAAAUAGCCUAUACUUAAUCCCCCCCACCCCGCCCACCUGAGGAUAAAAACUCCUUGCAGAAGGCAAAAUUUCCUCCCAUCCCGUGUUAGGGAUGUGUGGGCGCAUGUCUGCAGGAAGGGGAAGCCGUGGGAGUGUGUGUGUGUGUGUGUGUGUGUGUGUGUGUGUGUGUGUGUCGAUGCAGGAAGGAAGCGGGCGGGUGUGUGCGCAGGGAGACACCUGUGGGUGUGAGCGUGGGGAUUUGUGAAUGAACGAGCCUGUGUGUGUGCGCGGGGACUGGGUGUGUGGAAGGGGCGGUGGCCCAGAGAAAACCCAGCUCCUCCAGCACUCACUCUGGAUCAGGACCCCUUCCAUCUGAGGGAGCCGAGUAACGUGGGUGGAGUGAGCCAUUGGGACGGCUCACACUCUCUAAGGCGAGGUCAGAGAGAGAGACUGCAGGACCAAGGGCCCAGAUGGGCAAGAGAGUGGAAGGUCAGCCACCAGGCCAUGUGGGGUGUUCUGGGUGGAUUUGAGUGUGUGUUUCCCAGGUGGUGGAUGUGGACUGGCUUUGGAGAUGGGCAAGCUGGUAGGUGAGGGGGCAGAGCUGAGUGGAUACCAGAGAGGAUGACCCACUCAGGGGAUUCUGCCAGCCGUGUCUGGGGCUGCAGGCACAGUGGUUCCAACAGAG
This 2847-nucleotide long non-coding RNA is filed under the name Homo sapiens (human). Its description in RNAcentral is "non-protein coding LINC01574:7". Lineage: Eukaryota; Metazoa; Chordata; Mammalia; Primates; Hominidae. The record is from RNAcentral.